GACCUACGGGAGGCAGCAGUGAGGAAUAUUGGUCAAUGGUCGAGAGACUGAACCAGCCAAGCCGCGUGAGGGAUGAAGGUACAGAGUAUCGUAAACCUCUUUUGUCAGGGAACAAAGGCGGGGACGUGUCCCCGGAUGAGUGUACCUGAAGAAAAAGCAUCGGCUAACUCCGUGCCAGCAGCCGCGGUAAUACGUAGGGGGCAAGCGUUAUCCGGAUUUACUGGGUGUAAAGGGAGCGUAGGCGGCAAGGUAAGCCAGAAGUGAAAGCCCGCGGCUCAACUGCGGGACUGCUUUUGGAACUAUCU
This 305-nucleotide ribosomal RNA is filed under the name uncultured bacterium. Its description in RNAcentral is "bacterial SSU rRNA". It matches the Rfam family "Bacterial small subunit ribosomal RNA", at positions 334 to 638 of the family's 1533-position model. The record is from RNAcentral.